This 543-nucleotide ribosomal RNA is filed under the name Pichia kudriavzevii. Its description in RNAcentral is "eukaryotic LSU rRNA". It matches the Rfam family "Eukaryotic large subunit ribosomal RNA", at positions 91 to 657 of the family's 3401-position model. The record is from RNAcentral. Lineage: Eukaryota; Fungi; Ascomycota; Pichiomycetes; Pichiales; Pichiaceae.
GAGUGAGCGGCAAGAGCUCAGAUUUGAAAUCGUGCUUUGCGGCACGAGUUGUAGAUUGCAGGUUGGAGUCUGUGUGGAAGGCGGUGUCCAAGUCCCUUGGAACAGGGCGCCCAGGAGGGUGAGAGCCCCGUGGGAUGCCGGCGGAAGCAGUGAGGCCCUUCUGACGAGUCGAGUUGUUUGGGAAUGCAGCUCCAAGCGGGUGGUAAAUUCCAUCUAAGGCUAAAUACUGGCGAGAGACCGAUAGCGAACAAGUACUGUGAAGGAAAGAUGAAAAGCACUUUGAAAAGAGAGUGAAACAGCACGUGAAAUUGUUGAAAGGGAAGGGUAUUGCGCCCGACAUGGGGAUUGCGCACCGCUGCCUCUCGUGGGCGGCGCUCUGGGCUUUCCCUGGGCCAGCAUCGGUUCUUGCUGCAGGAGAAGGGGUUCUGGAACGUGGCUCUUCGGAGUGUUAUAGCCAGGGCCAGAUGCUGCGUGCGGGGACCGAGGACUGCGGCCGUGUAGGUCACGGAUGCUGGCAGAACGGCGCAACACCGCCCGUCUUGA